GAUGAAGAACGUAGCGAAAUGCGAUAAGUAAUGUGAAUUGCAGAAUUCAGUGAAUCAUCGAAUCUUUGAACGCACAUUGCGCCCCCCAGUAUUCUGGCGGGCAUGCCUGUUCGAGCGUCAUUUCAACCAUCAAGCCCUGCUUGUGUUGGGGUCCUGCGGCUGCCCGCAGGCCCUGAAAACCAGUGGCGGGCUCGCUAGUCACACCGAGCGCAGUAGCACAUCUCGCUCAGGGCGUGCGGCGGGCUCCAGCCGUUAAAGCACCCACCUUUCGCAAGGUUGACCUCGGAUCAGGUAGGAAUACCCGCUGAACUUAAGCCUAUCAAUAAGCGGAGGA
This 334-nucleotide unclassified non-coding RNA is filed under the name soil metagenome. Its description in RNAcentral is "partial contains 5.8S ribosomal RNA, internal transcribed spacer 2, and large subunit ribosomal RNA". The stretch from base 1 to 120 matches the Rfam family "5.8S ribosomal RNA", at positions 35 to 154 of the family's 154-position model. The record is from RNAcentral.